CGAAACGUACUAUCGCCUGGUCAUCACCGCGACGGGAGACAGGAAGCCGGUGCGAAUCCGGCACGGUCCCGCCACUGUGACCGGGGAGUACGACCCUUCGGCAGGCCACUGCGCGCGGCGCGGGAAGGCGAGGAGGGACGUCGGUCCGGGAGUCAGAACACUGGCCUGUCGCGGGCCCGUUCC
Molecule: non-coding RNA, 183 nt
Filed under: Streptomyces sp.
Lineage: Bacteria; Bacillati; Actinomycetota; Actinomycetes; Kitasatosporales; Streptomycetaceae
Also listed under: 1 other name
Source: RNAcentral